GGUAGUCCACGCCGUAAACGAUGAGUGCUAAGUGUUAGGGGGUUUCCGCCCCUUAGUGCUGCAGCUAACGCAUUAAGCACUCCGCCUGGGGAGUACGGUCGCAAGACUGAAACUCAAAGGAAUUGACGGGGGCCCGCACAAGCGGUGGAGCAUGUGGCUUAAUUCGAAGCAACGCGAAGAACCUUACCAGGUCUUGACAUCCUCUGACAAUCCUAGAGAUAGGACGUCCCCUUCGGGGGCAGAGUGACAGGUGGUGCAUGGUUGUCGUCAGCUCGUGUCGUGAGAUGUUGGGUUAAGUCCCGCAACGAGCGCAACCCUUGAUCUUAGUUGCCAGCAUUCAGUUGGGCACUCUAAGGAGACUGCCGGUGACAAACCGGAGGAAGGUGGGGAUGACGUCAAGUCAUCAUGGCCCUUACGGCCUGGGCUACACACGUGCUACAAUGGUCGGUACAGAGGGUUGCCAAGCCGCGAGGUGGAGCUAAUCUCACAAAACCGAUCGUAGUCCGGAUCGCAGUCUGCAACUCGACUGCGUGAAGUCGGAAUCGCUAGUAAUCGCGAAUCAGAAUGUCGCGGUGAAUACGUUCCCGGGCCUUGUACACACCGCCCGUCACACCAUGGGAGUGGGUUGCACCAGAAGUAGCUAGUCUAACCUUCGGGAGGACGGUUACCACGGUGUGAUUCAUGACUGGGGUGAAGUCGUAACAAGGUAACC
This 712-nucleotide ribosomal RNA is filed under the name uncultured bacterium. RNAcentral describes it as "bacterial SSU rRNA". It matches the Rfam family "Bacterial small subunit ribosomal RNA", at positions 789 to 1501 of the family's 1533-position model. The record is from RNAcentral.